AGAGUGAACGCUGGCGGCAGGCCUAACACAUGCAAGUCGAACGGCAGCACAGAGGAGCUUGCUCCUUGGGUGGCGAGUGGCGGACGGGUGAGGAAAACGUCGGAAUCUGCCUAUUUGUGGGGGAUAACGUAGGGAAACUUACGCUAAUACCGCAUACGACCUACGGGUGAAAGCGGAGGACCUUCGGGCUUCGCGCAGAUAGAUGAGCCGACGUCGGAUUAGCUAGUUGGCGGGGUAAAGGCCCACCAAGGCGACGAUCCGUAGCUGGUCUGAGAGGAUGAUCAGCCACACUGGAACUGAGACACGGUCCAGACUCCUACGGGAGGCAGCAGUGGGGAAUUUUCCGCAAUGGGCGAAAGCCUGACGGAGCAAGACCGCGUGAGGGAGGAAGGCUCUGGGUUGUAAACCUCUUUUCUUGGGGAAGAACAAAAUGACGGUACCCAAGGAAUCAGCAUCGGCUAACUCCGUGCCAGCAGCCGC
Molecule: ribosomal RNA, 480 nt
Filed under: uncultured bacterium
Lineage: Bacteria
Description: SSU rRNA
Rfam family: Bacterial small subunit ribosomal RNA
Source: RNAcentral